This 301-nucleotide ribosomal RNA is filed under the name uncultured bacterium. Its description in RNAcentral is "partial 16S ribosomal RNA". It matches the Rfam family "Bacterial small subunit ribosomal RNA", at positions 509 to 807 of the family's 1533-position model. The record is from RNAcentral.
CAGUCGCCGCGGUAAUACAGAGGCCUCAAGCGUUGUUCGGAUUCAUUGGGCGUAAAGGGUGCGUAGGCGGUUCCGUAAGUCGGAUGUGAAAUCCUGGGGCUCAACCCCAGAACUGCAUUCGAUACUGCGGGGCUAGAGGACUGGAGAGGAGAGUGGAAUUCACGGUGUAGCAGUGAAAUGCGUAGAUAUCGUGAGGAAGACCAGCGGCGAAGGCGGCUCUCUGGACAGUUCCUGACGCUGAUGCACGAAGGCCAGGGGAGCAAACGGGAUUAGAUACCCGCGUAGUCCCUGUCUCUUAUAC